UGGGGAAUAUUGCACAAUGGGCGCAAGCCUGAUGCAGCAACGCCGCGUGAGGGACGACGGCCUUCGGGUUGUAAACCUCUUUUGGCAGGGAAGAAGCGAAAGUGACGGUACCUGCAGAAAAAGCACCGGCUAACUACGUGCCAGCAGCCGCGGUGAUACGUAGGGUGCAAGCGUUGUCCGGAAUUAUUGGGCGUAAAGAGCUCGUAGGCGGUUUGUCGCGUCUGCUGUGAAAACCCGAGGCUCAACCUCGGGCCUGCAGUGGUUACGGGCAAACUAGAGUGCGGUAGGGGAGAUUGGAAUUCCUGGUGUAGCGGUGGAAUGCGCAGAUAUCAGGAGGAACACCGAUGGCGAAGGCAGAUCUCUGGGCCGUAACUGACGCUGAGGAGCGAAAGCAUGGGGAGCGAACA
RNAcentral lists this ribosomal RNA (407 nucleotides) under uncultured bacterium. RNAcentral's name for it is "bacterial SSU rRNA". It matches the Rfam family "Bacterial small subunit ribosomal RNA", at positions 355 to 774 of the family's 1533-position model. The record is from RNAcentral.